Molecule: long non-coding RNA, 344 nt
Filed under: Lathyrus oleraceus (garden pea)
Lineage: Eukaryota; Viridiplantae; Streptophyta; Magnoliopsida; Fabales; Fabaceae
Description: Pisum sativum (pea) long non-coding RNA (PSAT_LNC030439)
Source: RNAcentral
UUCAACAAGGUCAAACAAAGUUUGACAAAAAAUUUCAGCAUUUUUAAAAGUCAGAAACUAUUUUUAAUCAAUUAAAAAUGAAUGAAAAUAACCUAAUUGAUGAGAAUAUUUUUCAUAGAUUCAUCAUCAUCCAAAGAGGUUAGGAAAAUAUUUUUGUAUUUUUGAAUAUCAAAAACUAUUUAAAAUGAAUUAAAAAUAACCAGAAAAGAGAAAAUUCACAAAAAAUAUCAAAUGAUAAAAUAAAUAAAAUAAAAAAUCAGAAUUAGAAACUAGAAAUUAUUCGGAGGAGAAUGCAAUUGGUCCCAUAUUUUUUGGAUUUAAAAUGAAGAAGAUGUGAAUUUUGG